This 1976-nucleotide long non-coding RNA is filed under the name Anas platyrhynchos platyrhynchos (common mallard). RNAcentral describes it as "lncRNA (ENSAPLG00000026448.1)". The record is from RNAcentral. Lineage: Eukaryota; Metazoa; Chordata; Aves; Anseriformes; Anatidae.
GGAGGUAAAGGCAAGGCUGGGGGGGGGACGGGGGCGCUUCCAGAGCAGCUGCAGGGUGCAGGGAUGUGGUUGGGGUGAGGACGGCUCCGAUCCAUGGGGAUGGUGUUGGGGUGGGGACGGCACAGCCCCCCCAGGCUGCCCCCAGCCUUCCUUUUCGCUCCUUUUUUCCCUCUCCCCCAGGCUCCCAGCACCCCCCCGCCGCUCCCGGCCAAGGUGGGCUCCUCGUCAGCCCCCCAGGGGCCACUUAUCCGGGCCGGGAGCGGAGGGGCAGCCCCCGAGGGUCCCUCCAGCCAGCGUGAAGCCGUCCCCCCCGAGCCCAAGUACCAGCAGCUCGUGCGCUUCCACACCUACGCCGAGCCCCGCGAGCGCACGGAGCCGGAGGAGCCCAUCCCCUUCUACGCCAUGGGCCGGGGCUGCGAGCCCCCCCCCGAGGAGAACGUCUACUCCGAGGUGGCCCCAGCCCAGAGGGAGCUGCCCCCCCUGCUCCCGAGGGGUGCGCGGGGUCCCCUCUCCACGCUGCCCCCCCCCAAGGCGAGGGCGCCCACCGAGCCUGCGCACCGCCGCCUGUUCCGCAGCUUCUCCAGCCAAGCUUCCAGGAGGAGGCAGCCCCCGGCGGCUCCCAGCGUGGGUGGGGGGCUGAGAGGAGCCCCCAGCCCACCCCUGGAGGCCCCAAGGAACCCCUCCAUGGAGUUUGACGACCCCAUUUACGGGCAGAGGAAGAGCAGUGCCACGAGAACUGCAGCCCCCCUGGGGCAGGAGGGGCAGGAGAACAUUUACGAGCAGCUUUCCGGAGAGGAGCGACCCUGAAAGGUCCACGGGAAAAACCUCAACCGCCUGCCCAAAACACAUCCCCCUCCUCUGCACCCCAACGAGCCCCUGGUUGUGGGGCACAGCCCCACGGAAGGAGCAGCCCCCCCAAAGCAGAAACCGGCCCCUCGGCAGCCCCAAACCCAUGGGCAGCACCCGAGGGCUCCGCAGCGGGAUCCGAGCGCCCUUCCCACGGGAGCGAGAGGGCUCCGAGGGGGCAGGAAGGAGGCGCCGAAUUCAUCUUCGCAGAAGGAGGAGGCUCGGAAUAGAAGCAGGGCGGAGGAGGAGGAGGCUGCUCUAGGAAAAACAGGCGGCUUCCAAGCAGGGCUGCUGCCUCCGGAGCCUGACACCGAGCUGGCCGCGAGCCGGAGAGGUGCCGCGAGGCCAAAACUGCCCGCAGGUGUCUCCAGGCUCAGCCACAAAAAGACACAAAAAAAAGCCACAAAAAGCCAGGAAAAAAGCCACGAAAAGACAGAAAAAAAAAGCCACAAAACCCAGAGCUGCCCCGUGGUGUUCCCUGCACCCCCUGAACCCCGAGCUCCUCGCCCUGGCCGCGGUGCCAGCGGCUGCGGGGCUCCAGCGGGGUCCUGGUGCGGGCACAAGGGAGGCAAAAACCCGAGCUCGGACGUGUUGGAGCCUCAAAGUGAUGAGGGGAAGGGAGGCCGGGGGUUACCUCUGGGAAAAUCGCCGCUGUUUUCCCCCCCCCCCGGAGCCUUUCCUCGGUUGCUGUCGCCCGGCCGAAAGCAGAGCAAGAGGCGGCCGCAGCCAUCGCCCUCCGCGCAGCUCCCCUCUGGUGUUAAAAAUGAGCAAUUACACGAGGAAACGGGAAAAAUUCGAGCCUCUGCGAGCUGCCCUCGUCCCCAGGCCACCAGGACAAGGUGGGCGAAACCUGGCUUUUUUACCAAAAAAAAUAACAGAGCAGAGAGCAAAAGCCACGGAGCUGCUGCUCAGGACCACCGCGUUUGGCAAAGGCACCAAAAUGAGCGGUUUUGGACCAGUUCUGCCCCAAAACACCUGGGGCAGCACCGCCUCGAGCCCCCCGUGCUGGAAACAGGCGGGGGUUGGUUCAGUUCAAAGUUUAUUCCUUUAUCAAAUCUCUUUGCAGAGGAUUUUCGGUGUACAGAGAAGAAACGAAUAAAUUACCGGACAGGAACUUUAUUCCGCUCGUU